Tachyglossus aculeatus (Australian echidna) is the source of this 665-nucleotide long non-coding RNA. RefSeq lists it as uncharacterized. The transcript is spliced from 3 exons. The record is from RefSeq and is a predicted model, not a curated record. Lineage: Eukaryota; Metazoa; Chordata; Mammalia; Monotremata; Tachyglossidae.
ACACUGCACAGAUUCCAGCCCUCCUUGCCAACGGCUUGAAUCUGGCCACCUUGUCAGCAUGAACAGCGAGCCCGAGUCAAAAGCGUGUGCUUCCUGUUAUUUUUUGAAAUGCCCAUCAAUCUCAGCGUUCAGAGCAGGUGAAGGAGCACCCCAUGAAGCUGAUUUCCUUUGUUCUUAAUCACAGGAGAGAGCAAGCUGGGGACGGGAAGAUGAAAUAGAAUUGGAAAUGGAAACGAGAGAUCCUGUCACACUCAAACCCACCUCCAGCACUGUAGGGUCGUUCCUCACUACCUGCUGUCUGCAACUUUGUUCUACCAACUCAUUUCAAAAGACGGAGUGUCUGUAUUCUCCCUCCCUGGGCCCACUGGAGCCUUGUGGCUAACAAGGCUUCCCUGCUCUCCAGCUGACAUUUUCCUUUGCUGUUCUAGCCUUUGGAGAGCUGGUCAACCAGCUUGUACAACCAGCGCUUGUACUUCCCAAGCGCUUAGUACAGUGCUCUGCACACAGUAAGCGCUCAAUAAAUACGAUUGAAUGAAUGAAUGAAUGAACCAGGAGACAGAAAGUAAUGGUCUAUUCUGUCGGCCGCCUCCUGGUCCGCCUUCCCAACCUUCUGGACUGGGAGCCCGCUUUCUAGACUGUGAGCCCGCUGCUGGGUAGGGACCGUC